This is a non-coding RNA of Anoplopoma fimbria (sablefish), 407 nucleotides long. The record is from the annotation of a RefSeq genome assembly. NCBI's taxonomy places the organism in Eukaryota, Metazoa, Chordata, Actinopteri, Perciformes, Anoplopomatidae.
CUGAGGGACAGAACAUGGACGUCACUAAACAUGGCCUCCUGAGCCUUUUAGUCCUUCUGCUCUGGAGAAAAGGUCUGAUUGCUGGGGAUGAUGUCACCCAGACGGAAAUACUGUGGAAAGAUGAGCGAGACAAUGCAACAAUGACCUGCAGCCACACUAAGGGCAGCGGCUACUACCAGAUGUACUGGUACAGACAGCGGCCUGGAGAAACAAUGAAACUAGUCGUGUUCACUAUUGCAAACACUAAACCUGUCUUUGAACCGGACUUCAGAGGGGAGAAGUUUUCAGCCACCAAGCCUAACGCUGAGAGUGGGACGCUCACAGUGAAGAAGCUGCAGCCAGAAGAUAAAGGCUUGUAUUUCUGUGCUGUGAGUCAACACAGUGAUACAGAUGCACUCAACAGCUGA